This 262-nucleotide ribosomal RNA is filed under the name uncultured prokaryote. RNAcentral's name for it is "partial 16S ribosomal RNA". It matches the Rfam family "Bacterial small subunit ribosomal RNA", at positions 524 to 784 of the family's 1533-position model. The record is from RNAcentral.
UACGUAGGUGGCGAGCGUUAUCCGGAAUUACUGGGCGUAAAGAGCUCGUAGGUGGUUUGUCACGUCGUCUGUGAAAUUCCGGGGCUUAACCUCGGGCGUGCAGGCGAUACGGGCAAUACUUGAGUGCUGUAGGGGAGACUGGAAUUCCUGGUGUAGCGGUGAAAUGCGCAGAUAUCAGGAGGAACACCAAUGGCGAAGGCAGGUCUCUGGGCAGUUACUGACGCUGAGGAGCGAAAGCAUGGGUGGCGAACAGGAUUAGAUA